Molecule: long non-coding RNA, 1650 nt
Organism: Papaver somniferum (opium poppy)
Lineage: Eukaryota; Viridiplantae; Streptophyta; Magnoliopsida; Ranunculales; Papaveraceae
Exons: 6
Source: RefSeq, a predicted model, not a curated record
UUGCCCAACUCUAUUUUCUCUUUAUUCCUCUAUCUGCAGUUUCUCAAUCUCCGAUCUUCUGUUUCUUCUCAAGCUCGAUCUAUAUAUCUCGAUUUAUUCUUUUAUUUUUCAUUUAGAUUUAGAUUUUGAUUCAUGUUAUUUAUUGGAAGCGAUGAAGAACAUCUAAAACCUAUAACACGCACUCUUCUCCAAACAUCAUCGUUGGUUUAAGAUCAUCAAGAUCUGGGUGAUAUGGGGUAACUCUCUCUUCUCUAUUAUUUAUAUCAAUUUUCCCCAAAAUUUUCAAUUAGGUUUCCAAUUUCUUGUAAUUUGGAGCUUUUUGAAUUGAUUUUGUGAACUGUGAUUUCAAUUAGGGUUCAUUUAAAGUUAACAUUUUUUACCUGCUUUAAGUGGUUUGGAGAUCUGCUUCACAUUUUUUUUUCCUUCUGUUUUGUGGUUCCACAAGUUUUCUACCAUCUGGGUGAACCAAGUUUGUUAUGAACCACUUGUUGUGGUUGGUACUAACUUGGGUGUUGGUGAUUCUAAUUCAAGUAGAUGAUUUUGUGUUUGUCAAUUUUUUGUUGUUUGUGGGUAUUAAAUGAGAUGGGAGAGAAUAUGGCUUAUUGUUUCAGAACUUCACUGGAUCUUAUUCCGAGUUGUGCAGAUGGUACUAGUUUUAGAAUUGGAGGCAGUGAUGGUGGUGAAAUUGGUAGGAUUUGUUUAAGAUUAUGGCUCUCUGGUCCUGAUGUUUAUGAUUUGUGAAUAUGCAUAACCUUUCUGACCAUUAACUUAUAAGACUGGUGUUUCUUCAACCUCAUAUUAGCAAUUCCUAUGGGUUAUAUUUCAGGUGCACCUUUAGUAUUUAACUAUGUUCUGCUUCUUUCAGUACUGAUAAUUUUUUGGCAUUGUUGUACUCCUUGUAAGUAACCUUGAAGCAGACAGAUAUGGUGUACCUGGGAAAAAGAAUGUGUUGGCUUCUUUGCCACAAGAAACGCAAAGCUUCCGGACACCUCGUUGUCCGGCCUGAGUUGGAUCUUAUGGCACAGGAAUAUCAGCUUAUACUCAUGAAUUAUUCCUCGACGAUUGGAUAGAUCUAGAGACUUGUCUAAGAACUCUUAUGGAUUGUGUUUUUUUUUUCUUCAUAAGAUCGCUAGCUCUCUUGCACGUCGCACACUCGAUCACCACUAAUUGCUAAAGGUCGCGUGACUUAUUAAUGGUAUAGUACUGCUUCAACUAAAAGCUUGAUACUGUAACUCCAAAAGACAUGGACUAUUAUGGGUGUCCUAAAUUGAAAGAUGCUUGCUAAGAAACCCAACUCUUUACCUUUAGCCAAAUAAAUGAAGCUUUCAUCUGCAUACGCAAAGCACAGGGCAUGCGUCUUUUAUCCUUCCAUUCCAUAAGCACGAGUACUAAGGGUCCUUGGGAUGGAAGAACUUAAAGUUAACUGGAGCAGAGGUAUUCAUACUUGCCCUCUUCUGUGCAAUGAAAGAGUUCAUGUAUUUAAGCUUAAAUAAACAGUAUGGGCAGGUACUUCAUGUAUUUGUAUUUCAAUUUUUUUUUUCCUUAGAGAAUCCAACAAUGAAGAGUUCAUUUUCUGUUUAAAACAUUUUGUAAGAUUCCUUGAUAUAAUGUUAAGUUAAUAGAUAUAUCCAAAUGACAGUUUUUGUUGCG